UAGGCUGAAACUCGCCUACAUGAAGCUGGAGUUACUAGUAAUCGCAGAUCAGAAUGCUGCGGUGAAUGCGUUCCCGGGUCUUGUACACACCGCCCGUCACACCACGGAAGUUGGGGGCGCCCGAAGCCACUUAGCUAACCCUUUGGGAAGCGAGUGUCGAAGGUGAAAUCAAUAACUGGGGUGAAGUCGUAACAAGGUACC
RNAcentral lists this ribosomal RNA (201 nucleotides) under uncultured bacterium. Its description in RNAcentral is "partial 16S ribosomal RNA". It matches the Rfam family "Bacterial small subunit ribosomal RNA", at positions 1301 to 1500 of the family's 1533-position model. The record is from RNAcentral.